RNAcentral lists this ribosomal RNA (475 nucleotides) under uncultured bacterium. RNAcentral's name for it is "partial 16S ribosomal RNA". It matches the Rfam family "Bacterial small subunit ribosomal RNA", at positions 29 to 523 of the family's 1533-position model. The record is from RNAcentral.
AGUGAACGCUGGCGGCGUGCUUAACACAUGCAAGUCGAACGAGAACGGUCCUUCGGGACGUCAGCUAAGUGGCGCACGGGUGAGUAAAGUAUAGUUAAUCUGCCCCCCAGAGAGGGAUAACAACUAGAAAUGGUUGCUAAUACCUCAUACUCCUUUAUUAUUAAUUAGUAAAGGGAAACGAAUUUCGCUGGGGGAUGGGACUAUAUCCUAUCAGCUUGUUGGUGAGGUAAUGGCUCACCAAGGCUAUGACGGGUAGCUGGUCUUAGAGGAUGAUCAGCCACACUGGUACUGAGACACGGACCAGACUCCUACGGGAGGCAGCAGUGGGGAAUAUUGGGCAAUGGACGAAAGUCUGACCCAGCAACGCCGCGUGGAGGAUGAAGCAUUUCGGUGUGUAAACUCCUUUUAACUAAGAAGAUAAUGACGGUAUUAGUUGAAUAAGCACCGGCUAACUCCGUGCCAGCCGCCGCCGUAA